Molecule: long non-coding RNA, 985 nt
Filed under: Cricetulus griseus (Chinese hamster)
Lineage: Eukaryota; Metazoa; Chordata; Mammalia; Rodentia; Cricetidae
Description: lncRNA (ENSCGRG00000025245.1)
Source: RNAcentral
GGGGAAUGUACUACUGUGUAUGUUUAUCUUAUUGAUUAUUGAAUAAAAUACUGUUUGGCCAAUGAGACAGCAAGUUAGAUGGAACUAGGAGUCAAAGAGGAUUCUGGGAAAUGUAGUAGAGAAGUGCUGAUCCAGGCAGGAAGUGACAUAGCAAGGAGACUCAUAUUUAAGCGAAAGAGAAACAGGAAGGACGCUCUCUCUUUUCCCCUCGGCUCCUGCUCCAGCGGCACGAUGUGAUUCACCAGCAAGGAGGGACACCAAUAAGGCGUCCGAUAAGAUGAGUCCCAUAAAAUAUAUAGAUACAUGUCACAGAGUGGUCCAGGAAGAAGAGUUGGUCUUUUCAACACCAGAACUAUGGCACCAAAGGUGGCAGGAUUUCUGUCUCCUGAGCUGUCCUGUGCUGGCCACCUGGAAGCUGAACAAGAACUCUCCAAAUUCUGCUGGAUGGAUCUGUGCCGUGUAGACAAUUAUCUCACCAGUGCCCAUGGACAGAGUGAACUGUAGGGACAACAUAAAAAGUUUUCAAAAAAAUAAGUUCCAUAAAUCAAAAGUCUUUCAUUAUGCUCUUUUAUAGACUGUGUGUGUGUGUGUGUGUGUGUGUGUGUGUGUGUGUGAGAGAGAGAGAGAGAGAGAGAGAGAGAGAGAGAGAGAGGUCAUUUCUUUUAAUGUAGUAAUGGUGACAAUAGCUGGUAGGGCUUUUUAAAAAUACUUAUUUGCCAGAACUGGAAGUUUGAAGUCUUGCAUUGAUCUACACAAACUUUAUGGAAGUAUUAAUAAGUCAAAUCCACAAUCUAGAACCCUUGCACUAGAUUUCUAAUGAUGUGAGGGGACACUGUAGGUCUUUGGAUUUGCAGUGCUAACUCGUCCUGAACCCAUCUGUCAGCUCUACUGUGAUGUCCAGACUUUUCAAAUCACUGUCAUACCCCCUGAUAUCUUUUCAUUAACAAAAGGCAUUAACAUGUGCUUUCCACCUCCUUUUGGUUUG